Molecule: ribosomal RNA, 292 nt
Filed under: uncultured bacterium
Lineage: Bacteria
Description: partial 16S ribosomal RNA
Source: RNAcentral
GGACUACUAGGGUAUCUAAUCCUGUUUGCUCCCCACGCUUUCGCGCCUCAGCGUCAGUAUCGGUCCAGAGCGCCGCCUUCGCCACCGGUGUUCUUCCCAAUAUCUACGAAUUUCACCUCUACACUGGGAAUUCCACGCUCCUCUCCCGAUCUCCAGCCUCGCCGUCCCAAGCGCCAUUCCCAGGUUGAGCCCGGGGCUUUCACGCCUGACAAACAAGGCCGCCUGCGCGCCCUUUACGCCCAGUGAUUCCGAACAACGCUCGCCCCCUUCGUAUUACCGCGGCUGCUGGCAC